UGCAGGGGAGUUGGACCAGAUGGCCUUAAAGGGUCCCUUCCAACUCAAACCAUUGUGUGAUUCUGUGUGAUUCUGAGUGGUGAGCGUGCCUGCAGCAACCAAGCAAGACACAGUCCUUCUGAAAGAGACAUGGACUCUUUUAUCACAGCAUCUUGAUUCAGCAUGAGCAAAGAUUCCUGAGUCUCUUCAAGUCCAGAAAUCAGUGGAAAUCAGAAGCUGCUACUCUGCAGAAGAUGCCAUAACACUCCUGCCAGACUCUCCUGUGCCUCACUGAGAUGGAGGAAUAUAGCAGGGCUGUGUGCAUGAAUGUGACCUUCUGAGCU
RNAcentral lists this long non-coding RNA (323 nucleotides) under Phasianus colchicus (ring-necked pheasant). Its description in RNAcentral is "lncRNA (ENSPCLG00000002765.1)". Lineage: Eukaryota; Metazoa; Chordata; Aves; Galliformes; Phasianidae. The record is from RNAcentral.